CCAAGGUUGUGAUCUUCCGUGAAGAGAGGAGAACUCAAGACACUGUCUGGUCCUAAAUGAAUGAGAGGCACUCAAAGAGCCACAAAAUCUUGCAGAGGAGUUUCUGUCAUAUGAUGGAUGUGCUGUUCCCUGGUGGUUGCUGAGCCUUCAUAGAUCUCUGACCUUUGCAGUCCAUCAUGGGCAGGUGUAAGGCUUGCUGAAGCACAGCCACAGGGCUUCUCUGGCAGAGACAACACAUAAGGAACAGAAGCAAGGAUAAGAAACUGCUGCAAAAUGCAGGGCAUGGGGCAAAGCAGGGACCAACCAUAGCCCACCUGUACACGGUCAGGCUCAGCUCAGUCCGAUGGACAAAAAUAAAUCUGUCUGAUGCACAGAACUAACCUGAGAAGGCUGCAGGCCUUUGAGGUACCCCCCAGUAUCCCCAUUUCGGACAAAGGAACAUCCUCAGCUUCCAGGAGUGGUCAUUUCACAGCACCUGUGCAAAUGGAAGAAGAAAGCUUUACCUGACACCACAUGAAUUAAAUUGAAUAUAUUAGCCAGAGGCUCAGUCCAUUCCACAACAAAGCUGAAGAAGAGGCGAUCUAUAUGGAAUGGAGCCCAGCAGACAGCAAAAACCAUCACAAGGACAACUGCCAUGGAGAAAGAGGAGAAGAAAAGUAAGUUGGUUAUGCAAGGACAUUGCUCAAUUGCCAGUGCAGAGCAAAGCUAGCUGAGAAAGUUGGAUGAAAGCUUCAGGAUGAAUGAGAAUGUGUUCUCCAUGCAGAAUUCGGCCUUUGCUGACUCCAGUAAGGAUACUUGCAAACCUGUUCCAGGUGGGUACUGUGAAUAUCUGUGGGCACGGUUGUGUGCGCAGAAAAAUAAGCUGGUUUUGGAGUGCAAGCUCCUAGUUCUAGAAGGUGACUUAAGCUGCCUAAAAGAAUAAUGGAGCAUGAAAUAUUGAAGCUGAUUUACGUUUCCUGCAUAAACGUCAUCUCGGUAGCAAGGUGAACUUUGCCUUAAACAUAGCCCUUAAUAAUGAAGUAUUGAGAGUGCUUUAGGGUAGCUGAAACACCAGUUGUCCAGAGUGCUGUCCAGUGUAUGAGUUCACCUUUCCCUUGGGAAGGCCUAAGUGUUUAUUUUUGCUUUGAGAAAGAGGAAAGUUUGAUUAUGCGUCUUUUGAUCAUUAACCAUAACAUGCCAGUCUCACACCUUAUGCCUAUAGCUUGGUAGCUUUCCUUUCAGGACCUGGUCACUGAGUAUUUCACUAAAACUCCAGAACGUUUUUUGUGUAUACGUUCCUCAGCUGUCUGAAGUAAACAUGCACACAUUUGUCCCUGGUAAACAAAAGACAGAAGGACCCACUACUUACACAACAUCUUGGUGACUGAUUUUCUGGAUGGCCUCUGAACAUUCACGGACAUUUCCUCUGCUUCCAAAGAUCUGUCUCCUUUCAGCUGGCAAAGGGAAGGGAGGCACAAGAAGGGUUAGGUAGGAGAUGACAGCCCCACAGAGCACAUUGCUUUUGAUAUUUUGUAGCUGUAGUUUAAGAGGGCAAAAUUCGAGAUAACUCGGGGCUCCUUGACAGACAUCGGCAUUUAUCUUUCAGUUUUAGCCUAUGUUGAAGGUUGAAGCCCCAGGUUCCAAACAAGGUGCAGAUUUUGUAUAUCUGAGAAUGGGUAUUAGCAGCAAAUUGAUAUUGCGAUUCCCCACUCCUUUUUCAAUGAGUCGAUAUUUGGUUCACAGUCUGUUCAAUUUCAACAUUAUUUUCUCUUCUAGCAAAAUAUUCUUUGUUUGUUUUCCUGAAAGAGUUCCCCACAAUUAAGCACAAAGCAAUGAUCCAAAAAAAUGCCCAGAGAGGUCUUAGUGAAACACAGCUGUAAUCACUGGAAAAAACUGUGUACAAGUCAAAGGAGUUCAUUUCAUGCCCUGAGUGUUUGGACUAAUUGAUAUUCCAUCCAUCUGAUGAAAAAGAUCCAUAUAUGCUCUAUAGCAGGCAGCCAGUGCAUGUGACCAGCACAGAUCCAACCACCCACUGCUCAAUUACAAGGAUUCAUACUUUUGCUUUGUUUUCUUUGGUUUUGUUUGGUCCCCUUUCUUUCUUCUUCUUCUUCUUUUUUUUUUUUUAAUCAGUUUUCUAAAAAAAUAGAUACAAAGAAGAACAAUUUAUCCCACCCAAAUGCUUCUCCCCCCAUAUGCUUAUGGUGAGAGCACUGAUGCUUUGGAGAUGAAAAGACAAUGGCUAGAUAAUCAGGAUGAAAACACGUUUUUGCUUUGAUUAUAAAAGGAAUCAUCUAUGGAGACUGCAUAAUUGCACCCAGCUUCUUGCAGAGAGGGCUGCUGAUUAUACUACAUCUUCAGAGCAAUGCUUUUUUUGACAGAGAGAAACUGGAAACAACUUUAAAUUACAUGGGGAAGAAUAUCAGGAAUGAGGGACAAGAUAAAGAUCAGUCUGGGCUUGAAAACACAUGAGUUGUGCCAUUUUCUUAUCCAUUUUGCACAGUGAUUUUUUUCUCCUUGUGUUUGUUUGACAGUAUUUAUCUGUUAUGUUGUUGUAACCCCACUCAAAGAGACCUUCUGCCAAUACUUUAUUAGUAAAACCAAUAAAAGAGAAACACAUGAAAAUUGAAUUAUAUUCAAUUAUAAUUUCCCAUGUUUUACAUUAUUCCCUUUUGUCGCUUUAAGUCCUAUCUGCUGUUGCUUAAGAAUAGGAUCAAGUGAUUUGUAACACAUCUGGUGAUAAAUGUCUGUUCAGAUUGAUUAAAAUCCCUAGCUUCCCUUCAGUGGUUUUCAGCCUCAGCAGUAAUUUAUCCCAGGAAUAUUCCAAAGCCUGGUAGAAUACAGUGCUCUGAUGCUGUAAUAAUGCAGAGGCACACAUAUCUUUAUUUUUCACCCUCCUCCUGUCAUUUUGAUGAUGCUUCAAGGCUUCUCUUUGGCCUCCAGUGGUAAUACAUGGGGGUGGAACUGGUAAGAACAGCUCAGCAGUUGCAAUUUAGCAGAACAAUGAGUCAUUAGAAAACAAAAAAGAAAUGAGCCCAUGGCAAAGCCUGAGUUUGUGCCAAUGGUAUAACAGAAGUACUACCAAGGUGGUGGUUACUUUUACAUCACUGUGGAUGUGUGAGGCCAUAUAAAGUUGCCUGGAGAUGAAUGUUGCCCAGUCAUUGCAAGAGACUUAAAAGUGUCUGGAGCAAAAAGUUGAAAAUUUGAUUUCCACUUUGACAUCUUUAUCAGCUACAGCAUUUCAUGUUGGAAGUCACCAGGCAGAGUGAAAUUAGGGCCUCACCUAUCCCCAGGCAAACAUGAUGAGGCCACUCAGCAAAAGCAGGACAACAUUUUUGAGUAAGUUUUCUGCAAGUUACUGACACAGACAAUGAUCAAAUGUUCACUCCAGAUGAUUAAAAAUGCGGGGUUUAGAAGGUACAUGCCUUCUGCUAGGGCAUGCAGUCCUGCCAACCUGAGAGGUUUGUCGGUGCUGUUGGGACCCAGCUGCUGAACUGCCAUUGCUGCCCUGUGUGUUCUUAGCUCACCUCAUUGCAAAGGGAAACGUGCUAGUGGGUACAGGGCUCGCAGAACAAGCUCCAUGUAAAAGGGGACAGACCCCCUGUACAGACAGAACUGUACUGAGCUCUGCACAAAUUAGCCAAAGGUAGCCAACAUCAACAAGUGGUUCUGGUUUUAACAGCAGUGUGUUUGAGGGACAGAACAGAUUUUGAUGAGAAAAUGAAGACAAGCUCCACAGUGGAAAGAAUAAGUUGCCUUGACUCAAAGAGAGUUAAAAUGUGCCCAAUGUGACCAUAAGAGACGUGUUGGACUCCUAGAAGAAUUUUGCCUAUGUGUGAUCAGUCUGGUCACAUCUGGUUAACAGUUUCCCCUUUGUAGGUGUCUCAGGUGGGUGGGCAAACAUGUCUCUGGACUCUGCACUCUUCCUUGAAUGUCAAAAAUCCUAACUACCUCAAGUACUGGAACUAUCUAUUGGCUCUUACACUGUAGUAUUAAACCAGAAAGUCAUAAAAUUAAAUCCAGGUUGGUCACAAAGUAACAGUGAUGAAGUAAUCAACCUGAAGUCUCUGCUGGCUAUGAAUUACCUCGUGGGAAAGACAAAUAUAUAUAUAUUUAUUUUUAAGAGUAAUGAAAUUAAGGAUUAAAUCAUUGACCAUAUGACAGGGUACCCUUUCACAACUGCCUAAUGUGUCACACAUGCUUCCUUCUCUGUUUUAUCCCGAGGCACAAACUCUGGAGCUUUGACAAAGCUUGAAGGAGAAACUAUAUCAAGAAGAUGCCCUUUCCACAAACUCAGCUGGAAGUGAUGCCUCUGCCUGCUGAACUGGAGCUGUUUGCUGAAUUGGAGAUGUUGUUCAAUCUUCGGAUCAACUCUGAGCUUUUCCACUGCUCUCUAUGAGUAAUACAUGGCACUCAGGAGAUUCUGUAGUGUUGCUGAAGCUUCAAGGUUUUCAUCAGCUGUGAGUAGAGAAAAAAAAGUCUUCUCUUGGAAAUUACACACACACCAUUCCACUAUCAUUUCUGUUGAACAUAAAAAUGAAACCUUUGCCCAGCACAACUUGGAAUGUAAUGCAGACAAACCAGGGGCAUGUGUUGUUAAAAUCUGGAAGUAACAACUGGAUACGCAGAAAAGCUAAGGUAUAUACAAUAAGUAUUGCAGCCCUUAGGAAAGACAAGGUGAACAAAUCUGUCAAUAAACAGAUAUCCCUGGGUAGCAGCCCUUGUUUGGCACCCGGCUUCUCCUCUAGGAUGAGGAUUAGGAACUGUGAAACUAUGCAAAGAUUCCACAGCAGCCACUGAACUGUAGUUGCUUCAAAGAUCUUCUGCAUGUAUAGAUUUCUGGUAGAUAAUCCCUGUGGCUUUUCCUAGAUAGGGAAAAAUUGCUUUUCUAUAGUUUCAGAGAGCAGUAAAUACCAGCCACAACAAUAAAAUGGUGUAUGAACUAGCACAGAUUUGGUUGAAUUUCUUGCACGUUAUUUGGUAAAUUGAUCAGUCUUUACAAGCACGUUGCAUCCCUUUCUUUCUCUGUGAUGAGACACAGCAUUUUAAACUCUAAAUUAUAUUCAGUGCGAUAGGAGUGAGAUAGGAUUCAUAUUUCUGAAACAUAUGUAACGUAAGAGAAGAAAAAGAACACAGACUCUAUGAUUAGCAAAACUGUGCUACACAGGUUAAUAAUGCUGUGAUGCUGACUGUUUUCUCCUUCUAUCUAAAUAAUGACAAUUGGCAAAACUAGUCUCACUUUCUGAAGAGAUCCCAAAGGUGAGCUCUAAGGUAGCCUUAAUCAGUGGUGAAAUUGUGCUCUAGUUAUCCAAAGAGAAGACUGCUGAAAUUGCUGGCUGCAGCAGCAAGGUAGCAUUUCAGUUUGUGACAGCUUUGUGAGUUUUAACAACUGAAUAUUAACAUCCUCUCCAGGGAAGGAAAAAAAUAAAGCGUUGUAAUAGAAAUUCCACAGUCACAAGAAGAGGGAAAACAAAUCAUACACAGGAUUCUAUCA
RNAcentral lists this long non-coding RNA (5470 nucleotides) under Gallus gallus (chicken). The record is from RNAcentral. Lineage: Eukaryota; Metazoa; Chordata; Aves; Galliformes; Phasianidae.